Molecule: long non-coding RNA, 203 nt
Filed under: Nicotiana benthamiana
Lineage: Eukaryota; Viridiplantae; Streptophyta; Magnoliopsida; Solanales; Solanaceae
Description: long non-coding RNA (NBEN_LNC016302)
Source: RNAcentral
GGGCCUCCCUCUGCCGCGCCGACCGCCAGCAAUCACCAGCCGUUCGCAGCUCCUCACCGGUGCAUCGGGACUUCUCCUCCGCACAUGCUCGAACCACCUCAGCCGCGCUUCGCACAUCUUCUCGUCUACCGGGGCCACCCCCACCUUCUCCCGAAUAAUUUAAUUCCUAAUUUUAUCUAGCCUGGUAUGCCCGCACAUCCACC